This 258-nucleotide long non-coding RNA is filed under the name Gossypium barbadense (sea-island cotton). Its description in RNAcentral is "long non-coding RNA (GBAR_LNC005276)". The record is from RNAcentral. Lineage: Eukaryota; Viridiplantae; Streptophyta; Magnoliopsida; Malvales; Malvaceae.
AAUGACUCACCUUUUGCAACUUUUAUGAUUCAAUCCUUAAUAAACUAUCUAAAUGAAAAAAAAUUUAACUUAAAUUUAAUACAACCUAAAGAUCUCGUAAAUAUUAAAUAAAUAAUAUUUAUGGAUCAUCAUGUUGGAAUUGUGGUCUUGAAACUACUGUUUUCGACACUACUGAAAAUCGGGCUAUUUCAUCUCUUCUGAGCAGUAGAUUAAGCACGAUUUUGCUGAGGCAUUAUUGAAAGUAAGGGCAAAUUCUUA